GGGAGCUGAUGAUCCUGUGUGUACUGAUAUGUUAGUAUGGGUGGGAAGGAGAGCAAUGCUGAGGAGACUAGUGAUGAGUUAGACGUUAAAUGGGAAGUAGAGGAGAGGGUCGUAUGUAAGAGUGGAACACUGCCUGUGGGAAUACCAGCAUGGAGAUUUUAGUCAACAAUUGUAUCACGUCAUAUAUUUGAUAUCUUGGUAAAAGCUGGGGUUUCGGAAGAAGAGCACGAAUGCAUCAAUGUAAAAGAAAGUGAACAACGGGGAACGGCGAACACUAAAGACGUAACAUUUGUUAAAAAAAAAAAAAAAAAGAAAGAAAAAAAAACUCAUUAAAAA
This 336-nucleotide long non-coding RNA is filed under the name Cricetulus griseus (Chinese hamster). RNAcentral describes it as "lncRNA (ENSCGRG00015035600.1)". The record is from RNAcentral. Lineage: Eukaryota; Metazoa; Chordata; Mammalia; Rodentia; Cricetidae.